CCUACGGGAGGCAGCAGUGAGGAAUAUUGGUCAAUGGACGAGAGUCUGAACCAGCCAAGCAGCGUGAAGGAUGACUGCCCUAUGGGUUGUAAACUUCUUUUAUAUGGGAAUAAAACGUUCCACGUGUGGGAUUUUGUAUGUACCAUAUGAAUAAGGAUCGGCUAACUCCGUGCCAGCAGCCGCGGUAAUACGGAGGAUGCGAGCGUUAUCCGGAUUUAUUGGGUUUAAAGGGUGCGUAGGCGGAAGGUUAAGUCAGCGGUCAAAUGUCGGUGCUCAACACCGGCCUGCCGUUGAAACUGGUCUUC
Molecule: ribosomal RNA, 305 nt
Filed under: uncultured bacterium
Lineage: Bacteria
Description: bacterial SSU rRNA
Rfam family: Bacterial small subunit ribosomal RNA
Source: RNAcentral